CCGGCGACCGCAGUGGCCUUGCGGCUGGCGGCCUUGACGCGGUGGCCUGCGGCCGUCAGCUGCGCGGCGGUGCGGCUGCCGGUGGUGCCGGU
Molecule: transfer RNA, 92 nt
Filed under: Streptomyces hygroscopicus subsp. hygroscopicus
Lineage: Bacteria; Bacillati; Actinomycetota; Actinomycetes; Kitasatosporales; Streptomycetaceae
Description: tRNA-Val
Source: RNAcentral